UGCAGCCGAGCGGUAGAGUCUCUUCGGAGACUUGAGAGCGGCGUACGGGUGCGGAACACGUGUGCAACCUGCCUUUAUCAGGGGGAUAGCCUUUCGAAAGGAAGAUUAAUACCCCAUAAUAUUCUGGAUGGCAUCAUUUAGAAUUGAAAACUACGGUGGAUAGAGAUGGGCACGCGCAAGAUUAGAUAGUUGGUAGGGUAACGGCCUACCAAGUCUACGAUCUUUAGGGGGCCUGAGAGGGUGAUCCCCCACACUGGUACUGAGACACGGACCAGACUCCUACGGGAGGCAGCAGUGAGGAAUAUUGGACAAUGGGUGAAAGCCUGAUCCAGCCAUCCCGCGUGAAGGAUGACGGCCCUAUGGGUUGUAAACUUCUUUUGUAUAGGGAUAAACCUAGAUACGUGUAUCUAGCUGAAGGUACUAUACGAAUAAGCACCGGCUAACUCCGUGCCAGCAGCCGCGGUAAUACGGAGGGUGCAAGCGUUAUCCGGAUUUAUUGGGUUUAAAGGGUCCGUAGGCGGAUCUGUAAGUCAGUGGUGAAAUCUCACAGCUUAACUGUGAAACUGCCAUUGAUACUGCAGGUCUUGAGUAUAUUUUGAAGUAGCUGGAAUAAGUAGUUGUAGCCGGUGAAAUUGCAUAAGAUUAUUACUUUAGAACACCAAUUGGCGAAAGGCAGGGUUACUAAAACUAAUAACUU
Molecule: ribosomal RNA, 697 nt
Filed under: Chryseobacterium kwangjuense
Lineage: Bacteria; Pseudomonadati; Bacteroidota; Flavobacteriia; Flavobacteriales; Weeksellaceae
Description: bacterial SSU rRNA
Rfam family: Bacterial small subunit ribosomal RNA
Source: RNAcentral